This 283-nucleotide long non-coding RNA is filed under the name Homo sapiens (human). Its description in RNAcentral is "non-protein coding lnc-HCN4-4:1". The record is from RNAcentral. Lineage: Eukaryota; Metazoa; Chordata; Mammalia; Primates; Hominidae.
CUGGGAGCGAAGGUGGAGAUCAUCUCCCCAGGAGUUGGAUACCUUCCGGAAGCCGGGAUGCUUUAAGAUGGAAAGAAAUUUGACUCUUCAAAGGACAGAAAUGAGCCCUUUAAGUGUGUGCUAGGCAAGCAGAAGGUGACCCGGGAGUGGGAGGUAGGGGUUGCCCAGAUGAAUGUGGGUCACAGAGCCAAACUGAAUGUAUCUCUAGACUAUGCUUUCAGUGCCACUGGGCACCAGGGCAUCAUGCCACUCUUGUCUUCAACAUGGAGCUUCUAAGACUGGG